ACUGCCCUCCUGGCUCACUCCUGUGCUCCAGGGAAUCUGCCAUCUGCCGCAGGGUGGCUGGUGGUUCUUGAAAUGCUGACCCUGCAUGCAGCAGCCCAGAGGGUAACCAUGAUGCCAAAGACUCCUUGGUAAUAAAUACCCCAGUAACAAGAACAUGAACAAUGAAAACUGCAUUGUUUCAUGGAGAUUCAAACUGCCUAACCAUGUAGACUGGCUGGUUGGAUGGUGAGGUGGAAGGUGC
Molecule: long non-coding RNA, 241 nt
Organism: Echinops telfairi (small Madagascar hedgehog)
Lineage: Eukaryota; Metazoa; Chordata; Mammalia; Afrosoricida; Tenrecidae
Exons: 3
Source: RefSeq, a predicted model, not a curated record